This 468-nucleotide ribosomal RNA is filed under the name uncultured bacterium. Its description in RNAcentral is "partial 16S ribosomal RNA". It matches the Rfam family "Bacterial small subunit ribosomal RNA", at positions 28 to 507 of the family's 1533-position model. The record is from RNAcentral.
GACGAACGCUGGCGGUGUGCUUAACACAUGCAAGUCGAACGGACACGCCCUGCUUUUUUGGGGUGCUCGAGUGGCGAACGGGGGAGUAACACGUGAGUAACCUGCCCUUGACUUUGGUAUAACUUCAUGAAUCUUGGGCUUAUACCGGAUAGGAUUUUUUGCUGCAUGGUGGGUGUUGGAAAGUUUCGUUGGUUGGGGUGUGACUCGCGGCUUAUCAGCUUGUUGGUGGGGUGGUGGCUUACCAAGUCUUUGACGGGUAGCCGGCCUGAGAGGGUGACCGGCCACACUGGGACUGAGAUACGGCCCAGACUCGUACGGGAGGCAGCAGUGGAGAAUAGUACACAAUGGGCUGAAGCAUGACGCAGCAACGCCACACGGGGGAUGACGGCAUUGGGGUUGGAACCCGCUUUCGCCUGUGACGAAGCGUGAGUGACGGUAAUGGGUAAAGAAGCACCGGCUAACUACGUG